AGCGAACGCUGGCGGCAGGCUUAACACAUGCAAGUCGAGCGGGCCCUUCGGGGUCAGCGGCAGACGGGUGAGUAACACGUGGGAACGUACCCUUUGGUUCGGAAUAACGCUGGGAAACUAGCGCUAAUACCGGAUACGCCCUUUUGGGGAAAGGCUUGCUGCCGAAGGAUCGGCCCGCGUCUGAUUAGCUAGUUGGUGGGGUAAUGGCCUACCAAGGCGACGAUCAGUAGCUGGUCUGAGAGGAUGAUCAGACACACUGGGACUGGGACACGGCCCAGACUCCUACGGGAGGCAGCAGUGGGGAAUAUUGGACAAUGGGCGCAAGCCUGAGCCAGCCAGGCCGCGUGAGUGAUGAAGGCCUUAGGGUUGUAAAGCUCUUUUGUCCGGGACGAUAAUGACGGUACCGGAAGAAUAAGCCCCGGCUAACUUCGU
Molecule: ribosomal RNA, 432 nt
Filed under: uncultured bacterium
Lineage: Bacteria
Description: partial 16S ribosomal RNA
Rfam family: Bacterial small subunit ribosomal RNA
Source: RNAcentral